Molecule: ribosomal RNA, 254 nt
Filed under: uncultured bacterium
Lineage: Bacteria
Description: partial 16S ribosomal RNA
Rfam family: Bacterial small subunit ribosomal RNA
Source: RNAcentral
UACGGGGGGAGCAAGCGUUGUUCGGAUUUACUGGGCGUAAAGGGCGCGUAGGCGGCCAGCGCAAGUCAGUUGUGAAAUCUCCGAGCUUAACUCGGAAAGGUCAACUGAUACUGCGCGGCUAGAGUGCAGAAGGGGCAACUGGAAUUCUCGGUGUAGCGGUGAAAUGCGUAGAUAUCGAGAGGAACACCUGCGGCGAAGGCGGGUUGCUGGGCCGACACUGACGCUGAUGCGCGAAAGCUAGGGGAGCGAACGGG